UGCUCGUCCUGCCUGUUCGAGCAGCAGAUGGUUCCCAUUAAGAGAAAGAGCCUUGGCUCUUUCCGCUCGACGAUGUGGCUGUGGACUUUGAUAGCGCUGCGAGGCUUUUGCGAAAUGUGAAACUUUCCCAAGGACUAGCUGCUGAUCUGUCCAGAGCUACAGUUUUUGACUCCUGUGACACCUGAAGGAAAAAAUGGUUACACCAGUCUACCUUCCUUAUUUUUAGAGCAUUUUACGGUAUUUGAAGAAAACCUGAGGUGGAGUCUCUUCCCAGUGCUAAAGUUCAGAGAUUGUCAUAUGACUCACUGCAGGUAA
This is a long non-coding RNA of Lacerta agilis (Sand lizard), 315 nucleotides long. RefSeq lists it as uncharacterized. The record is from RefSeq and is a predicted model, not a curated record. The transcript has 2 exons. Lineage: Eukaryota; Metazoa; Chordata; Lepidosauria; Squamata; Lacertidae.